GAGUUUGAUUAUGGCUCAGGAUGAACGCUGGCGGCGUGCUUAACACAUGCAAGUCGAACGAAGCGGGAAGAAAGAAGUUUUUCGAAGCGGAUUUUUUCUUUGCUUAGUGGCGGACGGGUGCGUAACACGUAGGUAACCUGCCCUGUUCAUUGGAAUAACUCCGGGAAACCGGUGCUAAUGCCAAAUAAUAUCGCUUCUUGGCAUCUGGAGGCGAUCAAAGAAUUUCGGAACAGGAUGGGCCUGCGCCGGAUUAGCUGGUUGGUGAGGUAAGGGCUCACCAAGGCGACGAUCCGUAGCCGACCUGAGAGGGUGAUCGGCCACACUGGAACUGAGACACGGUCCAGACUCCUACGGGAGGCAGCAGUGGGGAAUAUUGCACAAUGGGCGAAAGCCUGAUGCAGCAACGCCGCGUGAGCGAUGAAGGCUUUCGAGUCGUAAAGCUCUGUCCUAUGGGAAGAUGAUGACCGUACCUAGAGAGCC
RNAcentral lists this ribosomal RNA (480 nucleotides) under Peptostreptococcaceae bacterium canine oral taxon 057. RNAcentral describes it as "bacterial SSU rRNA". It matches the Rfam family "Bacterial small subunit ribosomal RNA", at positions 9 to 489 of the family's 1533-position model. Lineage: Bacteria; Bacillati; Bacillota; Clostridia; Peptostreptococcales; Peptostreptococcaceae. The record is from RNAcentral.